UGUUAUUGGAAAGAAAUCCCUGAAAAUGAAAAGAGGAAAAACAGUAGGGGGUUGGUUUGGUUAAUUUUUUUUUAAAAUUUUUUGAGAAAUAGGAAAAUAUUGUUUGGUUGAUAAUUUGUAUGUGCAUUUUUAAGAAAGAAAAGAAUAUAUUAUUUUAUAAAAAAAAUAGAAAAUGUUUAAAAGUUAGAUUCAUGUGUUUUUAUUCAACAAAAGCGUUCCAGAUUCUCGACACAAGUAUCCGAAAGAAUAUUCCGAUCUCUCUCUAUUUGGGUGUUGUCAAUAAAGCCCAAGCCCAUCUGCGAUUGGUUUAUCCUUGAGCCCAGCUCCAAGGGGGAGGCCGUGGUGGAGCGCCUCAUGUGAUGCCCCCGCUCAACUUCGCCAUGGUCGAUCACGGCAUCUACAGACUACAGCUCUGGCUACCCAGACACUGCUGACUUCCGGUUUUUUGAAACGCUUGAGCUUCGCUCCAUCUUGUGUGCCUUUGCCUGGACCCGUACCCAGUCGCGAACAUGGAGUUCCUUCGGGAAAACUGGAUUACUCUUUUCAAGAUUGAGAUCGAUGGCUCCAAGGAAGCCACUAUUCCAAAAAAUGGGAUUCGGGAGGCCCUUAAAAUUGUUCUUAGUACAAAACAUUUGCAAACCACGUUUCCUUAAAUCAUUAUUAGUUCCUGCUAUCUAUGUUCGUGCCACUCUAGUAUAUAAUAACUGCAGAUGUCAGCAAUCACCCACUCAUUCAUUGCAAACGUGGCAAGCAUAGAACAGGAAGUGUUGUGGGAUGCCAAAGAAAACUGCAACACUGGUGCAUCGCUUCAACUAUUGAUGAAUACAAUUGCUAUGCGGCUGCAAAAGCAAGAGUUUCUGAUCAGAAUUUCAUCAGAGAAUUUGAUGUAACAAGCAUGGCCGAGUUCCUGCUUCAAGCCAACAAGACAAACUUUUCUACUGAUGAUGAGUCCCUGCUUCUUGGAAAUUAACCUGGAGCAAUAAUUCUUUCGCAGCACUAAAGAAUUGGAGGAUCCUUUUUCUCUGAGAGAGAGUUUCAUACUAAAUUCAAUUCUAUGCUCGUUUUCCUGUUUUUACAAAUCUCCUCGUGUUCGAUAGCAAGCGGUUCAGGUGCAUUUUUUUUUUAGUUGAAGAUUGCUUGCUGCUACCAAAUCUGGAACAGGCGUGGGGAACAAUCAAAUUAAUGGCGCACUUCAUUUCCAAGUUUCAAACACUUUCAAAGUUGUUGAUAUUAAGAGUAUACGCCAUUUGA
Molecule: RNA transcript, 1251 nt
Organism: Zingiber officinale
Lineage: Eukaryota; Viridiplantae; Streptophyta; Magnoliopsida; Zingiberales; Zingiberaceae
Exons: 4
Source: RefSeq, a predicted model, not a curated record